Molecule: ribosomal RNA, 329 nt
Filed under: uncultured eukaryote
Lineage: Eukaryota
Description: partial 18S ribosomal RNA
Rfam family: Eukaryotic small subunit ribosomal RNA
Source: RNAcentral
CCCUUAGAUGUCCUGGGCCGCACGCGCGCUACACUGAUGCAUGCAACGAGUUUAUAACCUUGGUUGAAAAGCCUGGGUAAUCUUUUGAACUUUCGUCGUGAUGGGGCUAGACCCUUGCAAUUAUUGGUCUCCAACGAGGAAUUCCUAGUAAACGCAAGUCAUCAGCUUGCAUUGAUUACGUCCCUGCCCUUUGUACACACCGCCCGUCGCACCUACCGAUUGAAUGGUCCGGUGAAAUCUUCGGAUUGAGACUUUGAUUUCUUCACGGAAAACGCUGUUUUAAAAAGUUGAUUAAACCUUACCAUUUAGAGGAAGGUGAAGUCGUAACA